RNAcentral lists this ribosomal RNA (253 nucleotides) under uncultured bacterium. Its description in RNAcentral is "partial 16S ribosomal RNA". It matches the Rfam family "Bacterial small subunit ribosomal RNA", at positions 524 to 776 of the family's 1533-position model. The record is from RNAcentral.
UACGGGGGGGGCAAGCGUUGUUCGGAAUUACUGGGCGUAAAGGGUUCGUAGGUGGCCCGCUAAGUCAGACGUGAAAUCCCUCAGCUCAACUGGGGAACUGCGUCUGAUACUGGAUGGCUUGAGUUUGGGAGAGGGAUGCGGAAUUCCAGGUGUAGCGGUGAAAUGCGUAGAUAUCGGGAGGAACACCUGUGGCGAAAGCGGCGCACUGGACCACAACUGACGCUGAGGCGCGAAAGCUAGGGGAGCAAACAGG